Molecule: transfer RNA, 73 nt
Filed under: Brachypodium distachyon (stiff brome)
Lineage: Eukaryota; Viridiplantae; Streptophyta; Magnoliopsida; Poales; Poaceae
Rfam family: tRNA
About the family: Transfer RNA (tRNA) molecules are approximately 80 nucleotides in length. Their secondary structure includes four short double-helical elements and three loops (D, anti-codon, and T loops).
Source: Rfam by way of RNAcentral
GGGGAUGUAGCUCAAUUGGUAGAGUACAAAGUAUGCUUCUUUGAGGUAUGGGGUUUGAUUCCUCGCGUCUCCA